UACGAAGGGGGCUAGCGUUGCUCGGAAUGACUGGGCGUAAAGCGCGCGUAGGCGGCUUUGUAAGUUAGAGGUGAAAGCCCGGGGCUCAACCCCGGAAUUGCCUUUAAGACUGCAUCGCUUGAAUCCGGGAGAGGUGAGUGGAAUUCCGAGUGUAGAGGUGAAAUUCGUAGAUAUUCGGAAGAACACCAGUGGCGAAGGCGGCUCACUGGACCGGCAUUGACGCUGAGGUGCGAAAGCGUGGGGAGCAAACAGG
This 253-nucleotide ribosomal RNA is filed under the name uncultured bacterium. RNAcentral describes it as "partial 16S ribosomal RNA". It matches the Rfam family "Bacterial small subunit ribosomal RNA", at positions 524 to 776 of the family's 1533-position model. The record is from RNAcentral.